GAAUUUUUUUUACAAUGAAUUGAAUGAAUAUGACUUAUGAAUUAUAAUAAUAUUAAAAGACUGAUACAUCAGUAUCGUUUGAUGGUAAACAGAACUAACCUAGACCACUGCGUACAACCGUCUCUAUGUAUCAAACAAAUCAUAGGAUACAUGCAUUGAUGGUAGCUCUAGAAUUAAUGGUAUAUUUUCAUCUCUGUGAAGGUGUUUAGAUUUUUAUUAUUUAUGCUCACUUUUUAUUGUUGUCUUUCACAUUAUUUUUUAUUAUUAUUUAAAAAAGGGGAAAUUCGAUAGAGUUUCGAUGGACAUAAAUUUUACUCGGCAACGAAAGUUGAAUAUGACGUUGCGAAGUUGUGCUUUGAUCAUGAUGAUGUCAUUAUAACAAUAAGGGAUCAUGUAUUAAUAUUAAGAACUUGUGAAUGCAACAUUUAACAUGCUUGUUUUGAAAUGUUAAACUAUCCGACUGCGUCCUUUGCUGACAUAGAUCAUUACCAUAAUUUGAAAUUAAUGUUUGUGCAACCACACUAUAUGCGCCUUUUGAAAAUGACAUACAUAUUACUGUUGU
This 562-nucleotide long non-coding RNA is filed under the name Mytilus galloprovincialis (Mediterranean mussel). Lineage: Eukaryota; Metazoa; Mollusca; Bivalvia; Mytilida; Mytilidae. The record is from RNAcentral.